GAGCACAGUGAUGGGAAAGAGAGAGCAGCAGCCAUCCUGCUGAUUCUGGGCACUGGCUGGAACCAUGAGAGGGCUCCUGGUGGACGUGAGCGCUGAGGGAAAGUCUUUGAGGUGUGCCAACUUUAUCCCAACAGCCACCUAAAAUGUAUGUAUGGCACCAAAAAUUAGUGUCUAGACCAGGCUGCACAGCUACUUCAUGGAACCACGGCACUUUCUCUCCCAUCAAUGUCAUUCAAAACACUGCAGAAGUCUUGAGUACUUUCCACAAGAAGCGACUGCCACCCAUGCCAGUGCGCACUUUCAAUUUCACCUAUGUAUUUAAAAAUAAAUUCCUCUCCAAGGUAAUAAAUAAUGAAGUCUGUGUUCAGGCCUCAUUCCUCCCACUGUAUUAUUCACACUUGUAUGAACUUUACUUUUUAUUAUUUAUUUAUGGACUAGUGUAUAGAGAAACAGGAAGUUUUGUGAGACAUGGCACCUUUAAGUCAGACUUUAAUCUGAAUCCCCAGGAGCACUAAAGCACUAACUUGUUGCAAUCACGUGUGCUACUGCUGCACUACAGCUCCGAUCACUUGCAAGAAAUUUUGACUGGAGAAAAAACAUUUCUACAGGCCUCAACUUUAUCUGUCAUCUCUCAGACAAAACUCACACUUAAAAAUCCACUCUGAAAAUUGUGAAUCCAUUCUACCUUUUAAUGUUCUAUAUAUUGAACUCUUAACUGCUAACAGGAAAUUGAAAUUCUAUGUUUUUUGUAAAUGCCAAAUUAUUAUCAUGUAUGUUAAUAGUGCUCAUGUGCAUUUUUCUGCCUAUGCAGGUAGAGCACUGAACUAAACUACAUUGAAAGUGUUUUACUGUUCAGAAUGAAACAUGCAACGCAACCAGUGAAGUCAAAUUCCUGAGCGAAUGCCUCUUGAGAGCCGGUUCGUUUCAGGGGCCGUUUACAUGACGCAAAGAAAAAACUUUUCCAUUUUUAGUACAUCAUUGUCAUGUAAACGUACCCUUAGUGAAUUCUGAGGUGUUUAGUAAGCACACAACAUGACUAGUAAAGUCUGAAUCUUGAAAAAACAACAUUUGUAAGUCAGUUCUUUUUACUGAAUCACAAACAAUGCAACCACCAGAGAAGUCUAAUUCUUGAGCGGAUGACUCAUGACUGAUUCUCAUUUUGUCACAGCUUACUCCAUUAACCAGAAUUGUUAAUGUGUUAUGUUGUACUAAAAGUUUGUGAAACUUAAAUCAAUCUGAAUGGAUGUUCAUAUAACAAUGUGGAAUUAAAGGGUUAGUUCACCCAAAAAUGAAAAUUCUGUCAUUUAUUACUCACCCUCAUGUUGUUCUACACCUGUAAGACCUUCGUUCAUCUUCGGAACGCAAAUUAAGAUAUUUUUGAUAAAAUUAGAUGGCU
Molecule: long non-coding RNA, 1396 nt
Organism: Ctenopharyngodon idella (grass carp)
Lineage: Eukaryota; Metazoa; Chordata; Actinopteri; Cypriniformes; Xenocyprididae
Exons: 3
Source: RefSeq, a predicted model, not a curated record